Molecule: ribosomal RNA, 505 nt
Filed under: uncultured bacterium
Lineage: Bacteria
Description: bacterial SSU rRNA
Rfam family: Bacterial small subunit ribosomal RNA
Source: RNAcentral
AUUGAACGCUGGCGGCGUGCUUAACACAUGCAAGUCGAUCGGUAACAGGUGUAGCAAUACAUGCUGACGAGAGGCGGACGGGUGAGUAAUGCUUGGGAAUCUGCCUAUUAGUGGGGGACAACCCGGGGAAACUCGGGCUAAUACCGCAUACGCUCUACGGAGGAAAGCCGGGGACCGCAAGGCCUGGCGCUAAUAGAUGAGCCCAAGUCGGAUUAGCUAGUUGGUAGGGUAACGGCCUACCAAGGCGACAAUCCGUAGCUGGUCUGAGAGGACGACCAGCCACACCGGAACUGAGACACGGUCCGGACUCCUACGGGAGGCAGCAGUGGGGAAUAUUGGACAAUGGGGGCAACCCUGAUCCAGCGACGCCGCGUGGGUGAAGAAGGCCUGCGGGUUGUAAAGCCCUUUCGGUGGGAAGAAAAGUCUCGACCUAAUACGUCGGGACCUUGACGUAACCCACUAAAGAAGCACCGGCUAACUCUGUGCCAGCAGCCGCCGCGGUAAC